UUUUUAGUAUAAGUAGAUUCCAUGCAAUGUUUGGAAUCUACUUAUACUAAAA
Molecule: microRNA precursor, 52 nt
Organism: Pan troglodytes (chimpanzee)
Lineage: Eukaryota; Metazoa; Chordata; Mammalia; Primates; Hominidae
Rfam family: mir-1302 microRNA precursor family
Source: Rfam